Molecule: non-coding RNA, 106 nt
Organism: Morus notabilis
Lineage: Eukaryota; Viridiplantae; Streptophyta; Magnoliopsida; Rosales; Moraceae
Source: Rfam
CUUAAGUAUGUGUACCUGCUGUAAAUAUGGACAGAGAGCUAUUUGUAGGCUUUAGGUGGGCAUGGUGUGGAGUUUUAGAAUGCCCAUAAAGGACCUACGGACAUCA